This is a non-coding RNA of Lingula anatina, 118 nucleotides long. The record is from Rfam. NCBI's taxonomy places the organism in Eukaryota, Metazoa, Brachiopoda, Lingulata, Lingulida, Lingulidae.
UUACUCUGGUUUCUCUUCAUCCACGUAUAAAUCUUUCGCCUUUUACUAAAGAUUUCCGUGGAGAGGAACAAUACAAUGAGUCUAUAGACUAAUUUUUCUAGCCCUCCGAAAGGAGGGU